GACGAACGCUGGCGGCGUGCUUAACACAUGCAAGUCGAACGAAGUGGCGAACGGGUGAGUAACGCGUAAUCAACCUGCCCUUCAGCGGGGGACAACAGUUGGAAACGACUGCUCAUACCGCAUACUGAAGGAGGGGAUUGCGUCUGAUUAGCUAGUUGGAGGGGUAACGGACCACCAAGGCGAUGAUCAGUCGCCGGUCUGAGAGGAGGAACGGCAACAUUGGGACUGGGGCACGGGCGAGACUGCGACGGGAGGCAGCAGUUGGGAAUCUUCCGCAAUGGAGGAAAGUCUGACGGAGCAACGCCGCGGGAGUGAUGACGGCCUUCGGGUUGUAAAGCUCUGUUAAUCGGGACGCGGUACCGGAAUAGAAAGCAACGGCUAACUACGUGCCAGCAGCCGCGGUAAUAC
This 408-nucleotide ribosomal RNA is filed under the name uncultured bacterium. RNAcentral describes it as "partial 16S ribosomal RNA". It matches the Rfam family "Bacterial small subunit ribosomal RNA", at positions 28 to 526 of the family's 1533-position model. The record is from RNAcentral.